AUUGAACGCUGGCGGCAGGCCUAACACAUGCAAGUCGAGCGAGCGGCGGACGGGUGAGUACUGUCUGUGAACCUGCCUGAUGGAGGGGGAUAACUACUGGAAACGCUAGCUAAUACCGCAUACCAUCAGAUGUGCCCCGAUGUGAUUAGCUAGUAGGUGGGGUAAUGGCUCACCUAGGCGACGAUCCCUAGCUGGUCUGAGAGGAUGACCAGCCACACUGGAACUGAGACACGGUCCAGACUCCUACGGGAGGCAGCAGUGGGGAAUAUUGCACAAUGGGCGAAAGCCUGAUGCAGCCAUGCCGCGUGUGUGAAGAAGGCCUUCGGGUUGUAAAGCACUUUAAGCGGGGAGGCGUUACCCGCAGAAGAAGCACCGGCUAACUCCGUGCCAGCAGCCGCGGUAAUUC
RNAcentral lists this ribosomal RNA (406 nucleotides) under uncultured bacterium. Its description in RNAcentral is "partial 16S ribosomal RNA". It matches the Rfam family "Bacterial small subunit ribosomal RNA", at positions 30 to 526 of the family's 1533-position model. The record is from RNAcentral.